This 258-nucleotide ribosomal RNA is filed under the name uncultured bacterium. Its description in RNAcentral is "partial 16S ribosomal RNA". It matches the Rfam family "Bacterial small subunit ribosomal RNA", at positions 524 to 776 of the family's 1533-position model. The record is from RNAcentral.
UACGUAGGGUGCGAGCGUUGUCCGGAAUUAUUGGGCGUAAAGAGCUUGUAGGUGGUUUGUCGCGUCUGCUGUGAAAAUCCGAGGCUCAACCUCGGGACUUGCAGUGGGGUACGGGCAGACUAGAGUGUGGUAGGGGAGACUGGGAAUUCCUGGUGUAGCGGUGGAAUGACGCAGAUAUCAGGAGGAACACCGGUGGCGAAGGCGGGUCUCUGGGCAACAACUGACGCUGGAGGAGCGAAAGCGUGGGGAGCGAACAGG